Molecule: ribosomal RNA, 449 nt
Filed under: uncultured bacterium
Lineage: Bacteria
Description: partial 16S ribosomal RNA
Rfam family: Bacterial small subunit ribosomal RNA
Source: RNAcentral
GAUGAACGCUGGCGGCGUGCCUAAGACAUGCAAGUCGAACGAAGUCUUCGGACUUAGUGGCGGACGGGUGAGUAACACGUGGGAACGUACCUUUUGGUUCGGAACAACUCAGGGAAACUUGAGCUAAUACCGGAUGAGCCCUUAGGGGGAAAGAUUUAUCGCCGAAAGAGCGGCCCGCGUUAGAUUAGCUAGUUGGUGAGGUAAAGGCUCACCAAGGCUACGAUCUAUAGCUGGUCUGAGAGGAUGAUCAGCCACACUGGGACUGAGACACGGCCCAGACUCCUACGGGAGGCAGCAGUGGGGAAUCUUGCGCAAUGGGCGAAAGCCUGACGCAGCCAUGCCGCGUGAAUGAUGAAGGUCUUAGGAUUGUAAAAUUCUUUUACCAGGGACGAUAAUGACGGUACCUGGAGAAAAAGCCCCGGCUAACUUCGUGCCAGCAGCCGCCGUAA